Long non-coding RNA from Herpailurus yagouaroundi (jaguarundi), 519 nucleotides. RefSeq lists it as uncharacterized. The transcript is spliced from 2 exons. Lineage: Eukaryota; Metazoa; Chordata; Mammalia; Carnivora; Felidae. The record is from RefSeq and is a predicted model, not a curated record.
GGGCCACCUGGCAGCGGUGAAUGAGGCCGGGCGUCCUACUGAUGGACCCGAGGCAGGAACCUGUCCACACCCCACACAGCCGCUUCGCAAGCGCGGCCUGGUGCAAACGCGCAUUUGCUGGGACAACACAAAUUGUGUGAAUGUAAAAAGACCAAAAACUCUAAGAACACUGUUUUGGACACCGCCAUGGAUAAAGCACCUGUCACAGCACCCAGCAUCUACUGGUUUGCAAUGAGGGCCGUUAUUGGAGCUUAACUAAUCAGGCAGCACACGUGAACUUGCUAGUGACCCUGGUUCACCAGACCUCUGUGCCAGGCUGAUGCUAGGAACAGAACUGCUGGAUUAGUCGUCGUCAUCCUCCUCCUCCUUCUAGUCCUAGAGGACCCCAUCUAGCCCUGACCUCUCUGCUACAUGGCUCUCAGGCCAGCCUCCAAACAACCACCUCCAUCUCCAGGCUUAAAAAACAAAAACAAAAACAAAAAAACAGUAAAAGUAAAAACUUUUGUCCAAACCAAAUUC